Molecule: ribosomal RNA, 497 nt
Filed under: uncultured bacterium
Lineage: Bacteria
Description: partial 16S ribosomal RNA
Rfam family: Bacterial small subunit ribosomal RNA
Source: RNAcentral
GAUGAACGCUGGCGGCGUGCCUAAUACAUGCAAGUCGAACGAACAGAUAGGAAGAUUGUUCUCUUGACGGUAGCGGCGGGCGGGCGAGUAACGCAUGGAUCACCUACUUAUAAGUCGGGGAUAACUUCGGGAAGACAGCUAUAAUAGCAUAUCAUAUGAUGUACCGUGAGAUUCACUAGAGAAAGGCAAUUUUGCCGUUACUAGUAGAAGAUGCCGCGUCGCAUUAGCUAGUUGGUGAGGUGACGGCCUACCAAGGCAACGCACCGUAGCCGACCUGAGAGGGUGAUCGGCCACACUGGAACUGAGACACGGUCCAGACUCCUACGGGAGGCAGCAGUGGGGAAUCUUGGACAAUGGGCGAAAGCCUGACGCAGCAACGCCGCGUGGGUGAGGAAGGUCUUCGGGUCGUAAAGCCCUUUUGUUGGGAAAGAACAGCUGUAGAGUUAAAUAUUCACGUUUUGACGGUACCUAAUCAGAAAGCCCCGGCUAACUACGUG